UGUAGCGAAGUUCCUGAUGUCACACUGCCAAGAAAAGCUUCUAGUGAGAAAGUAACUGCCCGUACCGCAAACCGACACAGGUAGUUGAGGAGAGAAUCCUAAGGUGUGCGAGAGAACUCUCGUUAAGGAACUCGGCAAAAUGACCCCGUAACUUCGGGAGAAGGGGUGCUGACCGCAAGGUCAGCCGCAGUGAAUAGGCCCAAGCGACUGUUUAUCAAAAACACAGGUCUCUGCAAAAUCGAAAGAUGACGUAUAGGGGCUGACGCCUGCCCGGUGCUGGAAGGUUAAGAGGAGAGGUUAGCGCAAGCGAAGCUUUGAAUUGAAGCCCCAGUAAACGGCGGCCGUAACAAUAACGGUCCUAAGGUAGCGAAAUUCCUUGUCGGGUAAGUUCCGACCCGCACGAAAGGCGUAACGAUUUGGGCACUGUCUCAACGAGAGACUCGGUGAAAUUAUAGUACCAGUGAAGAUGCCGGUUACCCGCGACAGGACGGAAAGACCCCAUGGAGCUUUACUGCAGUUUGAUAUUGCGUGUUUGUAUCACAUGUACAGGAUAGGUAGGAGCCGAAGAUACCGGGACGCCAGUCUCGGAGGAGGCAACGGUGGGAUACUACCCUUGUGAUAUGACCACUCUAACCCGCUGCUCUUAGCGAGCAGGGAGACAGUGUCAGACGGGCAGUUUGACUGGGGCGGUCGCCUCCAAAAAUGUAACGGAGGCGCCCAAAGGUUCCCUCAGAAUGGUUGGAAAUCAUUCGUAGAGUGUAAAGGCAGAAGGGAGCUUGACUGCGAGACCUACAAGUCGAGCAGGGACGAAAGUCGGGCUUAGUGAUCCGGUGGUUCCGCAUGGAAGGGCCAUCGCUCAACGGAUAAAAGCUACCCUGGGGAUAACAGGCUUAUCUCCCCCAAGAGUUCACAUCGACGGGGAGGUUUGGCACCUCGAUGUCGGCUCAUCGCAUCCUGGGGCUGUAGUCGGUCCCAAGGGUUGGGCUGUUCGCCCAUUAAAGCGGUACGCGAGCUGGGUUCAGAACGUCGUGAGACAGUUCGGUCCCCAUCCGUCGCGGGCGUUGGAAAUUUGAGAGGAGCUGUCCUUAGUACGAGAGGACCGGGAUGGACGCACCGCUGGUGUACCAGUUGUUCUGCCAAGAGCAUCGCUGGGUAGCUAUGUGUGGACGGGAUAAACGCUGAAAGCAUCUAAGCGUGAAGCCCCCCUCAAGAUGAGAUUUCCCAUCACUUUAAGUGAGUAAGACCCCUGAGAGAUGAUCAGGUAGAUAGGUUGGGAGUGGAAGUACAGCGAUGUAUGGAGCGGACCAAUACUA
RNAcentral lists this ribosomal RNA (1313 nucleotides) under metagenome. RNAcentral's name for it is "bacterial LSU rRNA". It matches the Rfam family "Bacterial large subunit ribosomal RNA", at positions 1581 to 2903 of the family's 2925-position model. The record is from RNAcentral.